RNAcentral lists this ribosomal RNA (520 nucleotides) under uncultured Glomeromycotina. RNAcentral describes it as "SSU rRNA". It matches the Rfam family "Eukaryotic small subunit ribosomal RNA", at positions 569 to 1082 of the family's 1831-position model. The record is from RNAcentral. Lineage: Eukaryota; Fungi; Glomeromycota.
AGCAGCCGCGGUAAUUCCAGCUCCAAUAGCGUAUAUUAAAGUUGUUGCAGUUAAAAAGCUCGUAGUUGAAUUUCGGGAUUAGUAAGUUGGUCGUGCCUCCGGUAUGUACUGGCUCUACUGGUUCCUCCUUCUUGAAGAACUGUAAUGUCAUUAAUUUGGUGUUGCAGGGAAACAGGACUGUUACUUUGAAAAAAUUAGAGUGUUUAAAGCAGGCUAACGCUUGAAUACAUUAGCAUGGAAUAAUGAAAUAGGACGUUUGAUCCUAUUUUGUUGGUUUCUAGGAUUGACGUAAUGAUUAAUAGGGAUAGUUGGGGGCAUUAGUAUUCAAUUGUCAGAGGUGAAAUUCUUGGAUUUAUUGAAGACUAACUACUGCGAAAGCAUUUUGCCAAGGAUGUUUUCAUUAAUCAAGAACGAAGUUAGGGGAGUCGAGACGAUCAGAUACCGUCGUAGUCUUAACCAUAAACUAUGCCGACUAGGGAGUCGGAUGAUGUUUAAUUUUUUUAAUUGUACUCUAGUUCGG